GUAGGGAAUAUUAGAAAUGGACGAAAGUCUGAUCUAGCAACACCGCGUGUGCGAAGAAGGCCUUCGGGUCGUAAAGCACUUUUUGGAAGGAAUAGGAAGGAAUGUACUUCCAGAAUAAGUCUCGGCUAACUACGUGCCAGCAGCCGCGGUAACACGGAGGAGGCCAACGUUAUCCGGAUUUACUGGGCGUAAAGCGCGUGUAGGUGGUACUGUAAGUAGGGCGUGAAAGCGCCUGGCUCAACUGGGAGAGGCCGUUCUAAACUACAGAACUAGAGGAGGGUAGAGGGAGGUGGAAUUCCAGGUGUAGCGGUGGAAUGCGCAGAUAUCUGGAGGAACACCGGUGGCGAAGGCGGCCUCCUGGACCAUUCCUGACACUCAGACGCGAAAGCUAGGGUAGCAAACGGGAUUAGAAACCCUUGUAGUCC
RNAcentral lists this ribosomal RNA (425 nucleotides) under uncultured bacterium. Its description in RNAcentral is "partial 16S ribosomal RNA". It matches the Rfam family "Bacterial small subunit ribosomal RNA", at positions 354 to 796 of the family's 1533-position model. The record is from RNAcentral.